AGAACGAACGCUGGCGGCAUGCCUAAUACAUGCAAGUCGAACGAACACUUCGGUGUUAGUGGCGCACGGGUGCGUAACGCGUGGGAAUCUGCCCUUGGGUUCGGAAUAACAGUUGGAAACGACUGCUAAUACCGGAUGAUGACGAAAGUCCAAAGAUUUAUCGCCCAGGGAUGAGCCCGCGUAGGAUUAGCUAGUUGGUGAGGUAAAGGCUCACCAAGGCGACGAUCCUUAGCUGGUCUGAGAGGAUGAUCAGCCACACUGGGACUGAGACACGGCCCAGACUCCUACGGGAGCAGCAGUAGGGAAUAUUGGACAAUGGGGCGACGAAG
This 329-nucleotide ribosomal RNA is filed under the name uncultured soil bacterium. RNAcentral's name for it is "bacterial SSU rRNA". It matches the Rfam family "Bacterial small subunit ribosomal RNA", at positions 26 to 381 of the family's 1533-position model. The record is from RNAcentral.